This 1203-nucleotide long non-coding RNA is filed under the name Oryctolagus cuniculus (rabbit). RNAcentral's name for it is "lncRNA (ENSOCUG00000036325.1)". The record is from RNAcentral. Lineage: Eukaryota; Metazoa; Chordata; Mammalia; Lagomorpha; Leporidae.
CCUGCGUGGACCGCGUUUUUCCGACGGUCCAGCCAGUCCCGCCGAGUGACUAAUCCUGCAGGUUGAGCAACCAGCGGGCUCUGGCGCCCGGGAGACGGCGGGUCAUUCCCCCUUCCGCGCCGCGCAACGCCCGGGCCUUGCACAUCCCCUCCCCGCUCCGUCGUCGUUGCUUGGUCGUGCGCGCGGUGCCACCGGCCUUUGCCAUGCGCUCCUCCGCCGUCCCGAGGACGCACGGAUCAGCCUUGCACGUUCCCGAGGAUGCGGGCGGUGCGCGGCUCCCAGACUGCCCAGGGUAGGGAGACGGUGGCCAGAGCAGCGGCGGGAGAAGGCGAGGUCGCAGUGGUAGCGCGCGCCCCUCUGAGAUCGAGCUCUCUGGCCUGCCAUGCACGCACUCCGUGUCCAAAGAGAUCUCCGAAUGCCCCGAAGUGGCACUGCCUGGAACACAGAGCCAGCACCGCAAGCAAAGCCGGCGCUUUGUGGAGCCGCUCGCCCUCGGGAGGAAGAUGCUCAGUGGGAGGGGCCGUGUCCCUAGGACCUUGAGACACUGGCAUCCUCCCAGCCAGGAGCAAAGGGCACAGCCUUCACUGACCCCAGAUGCCCCACCAUCUGCUUGCGGGAGGCCUUCCCGGCGGAGGUCCCUUCUUGCUGGAAACCCCGAAGAAAAGAGUGGCCCUGCCAGACGGAUCAGCUGGAGCAGCGCUGGCAGCCGGUGGGUGACAGAUGUCGUGGAAGAUCACCCCAUGUGCAGCGCACGUUCACGCGAGCAAAUGAGAAUCCUGGGGAAGAAGUGCUGAACGGGUCUCCUAAUCUAGGAGAGACGCAGGCAGGCAUACAACAAAGAAUCAAGACCACAGGAGUGGGCCGGCGCCGUGGCUCACUAGGCUAAUCCUCCCCCUUGCGGCGCCGGCACACCGGGUUCUAGUCCCGGUCGGGGCACCGGAUUCUGUCCCGGUUGCCCCUCUUCCAGGCCAGCUCUCUGCUGUGGCCAGGGAGUGCAGUGGAGGAUGGUCCAAGUACUUGGGCCAUGCAUCCCAUGGGAAACCAGGAGAAGCACCUGGCUCCUGGCUUCGGAUCAGCGCGGUGCGCCGGCCGCAGUGCACCGGCCGCGGCAGCCAUUGGAGGGUGAACCAACGGCAAAGGAAGACCUUUCUCUCUGUCUCUCUCUCUCACUGUCCACUCUGCCUGUCAAAAAAAAAAAAAAAA